Dromaius novaehollandiae (emu) is the source of this 4238-nucleotide long non-coding RNA. RefSeq lists it as uncharacterized. The record is from RefSeq and is a predicted model, not a curated record. Lineage: Eukaryota; Metazoa; Chordata; Aves; Casuariiformes; Dromaiidae. The transcript is spliced from 2 exons.
CUCCUCUUACUUUUGGCUUCAUUUUCAUGCAGCCGUAAAGAUUCACAGCAUAUAUCAAUGGGAAAUGUAAUAUAACACUCAGAAGUUUUCAAAUCUCACUCAUUCAAAUGAGUGUGACUUGACAAGUCUGAUGUGAUAAAAUAAUGCAAAGGGGUUUAAAGAUUUUGCUUAAAUGCACAAUGAAAUGAAACCUUUUUUCUUUACUUUUUUGCUGUUUCUUUUUUUAACUUUUGAAAUUAAAUCUAAAAAACUACAUCAAACCGAUAGAAAACAGGGAGAUUCUCAUUGUACAGCCUGUCAUUUCUCACCUCCAGAAUCUCACAACCCUUCUCACUGGAAAGAACCUCAAGGUGCUUCCAGUCCAAGCUCCUGCUCCAAGCAAAGUCAACACUGAAUUCAGACCAGGUUGCUCAGGACUUCAUCCGGUAGGGUUUUGAAAAUGUCCAAGGAUGGAGAUGGCAAACCCUCUCUGAGCAACCUGUUGUACUGCUUCAUUAUCCUCAUAGUGAAAUUUUGUUUCCUUGUAUGCAGUUGGAACUUGUCCUGUUUCAGUUUAUGACCACUUCUUCUCACCGUCCUGCCAAACGCCUUAGAAAAGAGCCCACUGCAUGCCCCCAGCCCUCUGCCUGUGGGUACCAGAGCUGCUAAGAGAGGUCCCAAGGCUGCCCCUGCUCCUGGCGAGCCGGCCCCAGCAUCGCAGCCUCUCCUUGGAGUGUCGGGCUCCUGCUCCGCAGUCUCGCUGCCUCCCCGAGCUCCCUCCACAACAUCAACAUAUUUUUUGUACGGGGGGUGGGGUGGGGGGAGGUGCAAAACUGGGUCACUAUUCCAUAUAUGGUCUAAUGAGUUCUGAGUAAAGGAAGUUAAUCACUCCUCUCAACUUACUGUCUGGGCUCCUGCUCGUACAUCCCAGGAUGCCAUUAAUCUUUGUCACUACCACAGCACGUUGUUGGCACAGGCACAGCCUAUAUGGUCUACCAGGAUCUUCUCAGCAGAGCUGCUUUAGCCAGUCCCCUGCCUGUACUGUUGCAGGGGAUUAGUGCAUCCAAGGAGCAGGACCUAGCAUUUGUCCUGUUUCAUAAAGUUCCUAUAAUCCUAGCUGAUUCCUGCGGCCUGUCUGGGUACCUCUGAAUGGCAGUCCUGCUCUCAAGCAUAUCAGCUGCACCUGUCAAUUGGGUGUUUUAUGCAUCCAGUGAGGGUGCAUGAGUGUCCUCCACAUCACUGGUAAAGGUGUUAAGCAGGACAGGUCCAAAGACAGACCAGUGCAGUGCCUUACCUGUUAUCAGCCACCAGGUAGAGUACAACUCACUACCAACUGUGAACACAACCAUCCAAUGAAGUUUUUACCCAUGCAGUAGUCCACCCAUUCAGACAAUAACUUCCCAAUGUGGAUAUGAGAAUGCUGUAGGAAAAAUGUGUUUAAAGCCUUGCCAAAAUCAUGGUAGACAAAAUCCACUGCUCUUUUGUUAUCCACAGAUCUAGUCAUUUCAUCAUACAAAGUAAACAAGCUAAAUUAUGGUUUAUCCUUGGUAAAUCCAUGCUACCUAUUCCAAAUCACAGAAUCACAGAAUAACUGAGGUUGGAAGGCACUUCCGGAGAUCAUCUGGCAUCCAGCCCCUCCUGCUCUAGCAGGGUCACCUACAACAGGUUGCCCAAGACAGUCUUCAGUCAGAUUUUAAAUAUCGCCAAGGAUGGAGACUCUACAACCUCUGUGGGCAACCUGUUCCAGUGUGUUUGACUACCUUCACAGUAAAAAAUAAAACAAAAAUAAAUCCUUAUGUUUUAAUGGAAUUUCCUGUAUUUCAAUUUGUGCCCACUGCCUGGUUGUCCUGUCAGUGGGCACCACUAAGAAUCUAGCCCCAUCUUCUUUAGUCCCUCCAUCAGGUAUUUAUACAUAUGGAUAAGAUUCUCCUGAGUCUUCUCUUCUCCAGGCUGAACAGUCCCAGCUCUCUCACUAUUUCCUCAUAUGACAAAUGUUCCAGUCCCUCAGUUAUGUUUGUAGCCCUUUGCUGGACUUGCUCCAGUAUGUCCACAUUUCCUUUAUUCAGCCCAGCACUGAAUCCAGCCCUUCAGGUGCAUCUCACCAGGGGUGAGCAGAGGGGAAGUAUCACCUCCCUUGACCUGCUGGCAACUCACUGCCUAAUGCAGCCCAGGAAGCUGUUGGCCUUCUUUGCCAUAAGGGCACACUACUGGUUCAUGGCCAACUUGUUGUCCACCAGGACUCCCAGGGUCUUUUCUGCCAAUCUCUGCAAAGCUAUUCUCCAGACAGUUGGCCUCCAGUCUGUGCUGUUGCAAGGGUUUGCUCCUCCUCCACUGCAGGACUUUGCACUGCCCUUUGGUAAGCUUCUUGAAGGUCCUGUCUGCCCAUUUCUCCAGCCUGUUGAAGUCCCUCUGGAUGGCAGGACAACCAUCUGUAUCAACUAAUCCUUCCAGUUCUGCAUCAUCUGUAAACUUGCUGAGGGUGUACUCUGGCCCAUCAUCCAGGUCAUUAAUGAAGAUGUUAAACAGUACUGGCCCCAGUAUUGGCCCCUGGGGUUCAUUGCUAGUGACUGGCCUCCAGCUGGACUUUGUCAUGCUGCUCACAACCUUCUGAGCACAGCAGUUCAGCCAGUUUUCAGUCCAGCUCACUGACCCCUUCUUUAGCCCAUACUUUAUCAGCUUGUCUAGGAAGAUGUUGUGGAAGAUAGUGUCAGAAGCCUUAGUGAAGUCAAAGUAAACAACAUCCAUGGUUCUCCCCUCAACCACCAAGCCAGUCAUUCCAUCACAGAAGGCUAUCAGGUUGGUUAAGCAUGAUUUCUGCUUCAUAAACCAUGCUGACUACUCCCAAUCACCUUCCUGUCCUUCAUGUGCCUGGAAAUAGUACUCAAAAUUCAUUCCUCCAUCACCUUCCCAGGGACUGACACAAGGCUCACCAGCUUAUAGUUCCCCAUGUUGUGCUUCUUGCCCUUCCUGAAGAUUUGUGUGAUGCUUUUUUCCAGUCCUCAAACACCUGUCCCAGUCACCAUGACCUUUCAAAGAUAAUCAAGAGUGGCCUUGCAAUGACAUCGGACAACUCCCUCAGCACUUGUAGCUGUAUCCUAUCAGGGCCCAUGAACUUGUAUAUGUCCAGUUUGCUUAAGUGAUCCCUAAGCUGAUCUUCCUCCACAAACAGAUCCUCCUUCCUUGUUCCAGACUUUCCCUGGUCUCAGCCACUUGGGAUUUCUGAGGGCUGCUCUUAUCUGUAAGGACUGGGUCAAAAAAGGCAUUCAGCCUUUUCUGUAUUGUGACCAGAAAGCCUGCCCCAUUUGCUAGAGGGGUGUCACCUUCUUCUUCAUGUGCCCAGAACUGGCUACGAGGAGGACAAGCUCAAUGAUUUUUCCCAGGAACCAAAGACAGACAGAACUGCCUGUAGUUCUCUGGAUCUUCCCUUUCAGAGUAGACUGUGGCAUUUUCCUUUCUCCUGUCAUCAGGAAAAUUUCCCCAAACCUUUCAAAGAUGAUACAGAAUAGCCUUGUGAUGACCUCUGCCAGCUCCCUUAACAAACAUCCUUGGAUUCUUCACCUCAAGCUGCAUGGAAUCACAGGGUCCACGAUUUUGCAAGAGAUCCCUGAGUCAAUUCUCAUCCAUAUCUGGCAGUACAUCUCCUCCUUGAACCCUGUCAGGGGAGACCUGGGAGACCUCUUCAGUGAAGACGGAGGCAAAGAUGACAUUGAGUAACUCAGUCUUAUCUUCAUCCACUGUGGCUAGAUCACCUGGCCCAGCAUUUAGCAGCAUGACCACAUUUUCCUUGUUUAUUAUUUUCUGAUUGUUGUGGAGAUAGAAGCUCUUCUCCUAGCCUUUGGCAAUUUCAGCCCUAGCUGAGCUUAACUUUCCUAACAGUAUCUCACCAUACCCAGGCAAUGUUUCUAUAUUCUUCCUCAUUUCCACUUCCUGUGUAACCCCAUUUACGCUGAGGCUCAGUCAUGAGUUACCUGUUUAUUCAGGCUGGUCCUGUGAUAGGUCUAUUUGUUUUCCUGAAUAUCUGUAUAGACUGUUCUUGAGCUUUGAGGAGAUUGUCCUUGAAGACUUGCCAUUUUUCUUUACUUCAGUUAAAGUAGUUCCCCAGUGGUUUCAUGAUUCACACAAAGCCUUGCCUUGAAUCAGCAACAGCUGUCACUUUGCCAUCUGGCUUUCAAGUUAUUUUUCACAGAUUGCUAUGUUAUUUACUGCUGCUUAAUAAAUGUGUAAUAUUCACAAUAUUAAAUAACAGCAUGUCAACCUUU